RNAcentral lists this ribosomal RNA (506 nucleotides) under uncultured bacterium. Its description in RNAcentral is "partial 16S ribosomal RNA". It matches the Rfam family "Bacterial small subunit ribosomal RNA", at positions 30 to 523 of the family's 1533-position model. The record is from RNAcentral.
AUUGAACGCUGGCGGUAUGCUUAACACAUGCAAGUCGAACGGCAGCAUGGUCUAGCUUGCUAGACUGAUGGCGAGUGGCGAACGGGUGAGUAACGCGUAGGAAUAUGCCUUGAAGACUGGGAUAACUUGGGGAAACUCAAGCUAAUACCGGAUAAGUUCUGAGGAAGAAAGCUGGGGACCGAAAGGCCUGGCGCUUUAGGAGUAGCCUGCGUCCGAUUAGCGAGUUGGUGAGGUAAAGGCCCACCAAGGCGACGAUCGGUAGCCGGUCUGAGAGGAUGAUCAGCCACACUGGGACUGAGACACGGCCCAGACUCCUACGGGAGGCAGCAGUGGGGAAUAUUGGACAAUGGGGGCAACCCUGAUCCAGCAAUACCGCGUGUGUGAAGAAGGCCUGAGGGUUGUAAAGCACUUUUAGUGGGGAGGAGUCUUGUUAGGUUAAGAGCUAGACAAGCGGACGUUACCCACAGAAAAAGCACCGGCUAACUCCGUGCCAGCAGCCGCGGUAA